CCUACGGGUGGCAGCAGUGAGGAAUAUUGGUCAAUGGGCGCAAGCCUGAACCAGCCAAGUAGCGUGAGGGAUGAAGGCCCUACGGAUUGUAAACCUCUUUUAUAAGGGAAUAAAGUGAGGCACGUGUCCCUUUUUGUAUGUACCUUAUGAAUAAGGAUCGGCUAACUCCGUGCCAGCAGCCGCGGUAAUACGGAGGAUCCGAGCGUUAUCCGGAUUUAUUGGGUUUAAAGGGUGCGUAGAUGGGUUGUUAAGUCAGCUGUGAAAGUUUGUGGCUCAACCGUAGAAUUUCAAUUGAUACUGGCAGCCUUGAGUACAUUUGAGGCAGGCGGAAUUCGUGGUGUAGCGGUGAAAUGCUUAGAUAUCACGAAGAACCCCGAUUGCGAAGGCAGCUUACCAAGCCGUGACUGACACUGAUGCUCGAAAGUGUGGGUAUCAAACAGGAUUAGAUACCCUAGUAGUC
This 460-nucleotide ribosomal RNA is filed under the name uncultured bacterium. Its description in RNAcentral is "partial 16S ribosomal RNA". It matches the Rfam family "Bacterial small subunit ribosomal RNA", at positions 338 to 795 of the family's 1533-position model. The record is from RNAcentral.